Molecule: long non-coding RNA, 413 nt
Filed under: Rattus norvegicus (Norway rat)
Lineage: Eukaryota; Metazoa; Chordata; Mammalia; Rodentia; Muridae
Description: long non-coding RNA NONRATT003746
Source: RNAcentral
CAAGAGGCAGACAUGUUGAACAAGGAGAAACAGCCUCUUCUGAAGAAAUAGGUCUCCAUGCACCGCAGUGGUUUCCUGGAAUAAAGCUGAGGAAAGGUGAUCUCACCCCCGUCUACAUGGAGGAAGUUGUGCGAGUAUGGGGCUUCCACGAGAUGAGUCUCUCUGGGGUGACACCCUUGGCCAGAGAAGACAACACUGGCACUCUCCUGUCAGAGUCCGAAAGCUCAAGAUGUAGAUGCUGUUACCACCUUGCCUGGGGCUUCCUGCUACUUGGCUGUCUUGAGUCAACAAUAGCCAAGGGGACAGAAGAAAGAGAGAAAAGUUAUAUCUAUAUGUUUGAACACAGGUUUGAUCCCUAAUGGAAUGGACGCUGGAGAUGAGGCAAACACAGCCCAGAGAGAACCACCAUUGUG